This 776-nucleotide ribosomal RNA is filed under the name Klebsiella pneumoniae. RNAcentral's name for it is "partial 23S ribosomal RNA". It matches the Rfam family "Bacterial large subunit ribosomal RNA", at positions 419 to 1198 of the family's 2925-position model. The record is from RNAcentral. Lineage: Bacteria; Pseudomonadati; Pseudomonadota; Gammaproteobacteria; Enterobacterales; Enterobacteriaceae.
GGGACACGUGGUAUCCUGUCUGAAUAUGGGGGGACCAUCCUCCAAGGCUAAAUACUCCUGACUGACCGAUAGUGAACCAGUACCGUGAGGGAAAGGCGAAAAGAACCCCGGCGAGGGGAGUGAAAAAGAACCUGAAACCGUGUACGUACAAGCAGUGGGAGCACCUUCGGGUGUGACUGCGUACCUUUUGUAUAAUGGGUCAGCGACUUAUAUUCUGUAGCAAGGUUAACCGUAUAGGGGAGCCGCAGGGAAACCGAGUCUUAACUGGGCGUUAAGUUGCAGGGUAUAGACCCGAAACCCGGUGAUCUAGCCAUGGGCAGGUUGAAGGUUGGGUAACACUAACUGGAGGACCGAACCGACUAAUGUUGAAAAAUUAGCGGAUGACUUGUGGCUGGGGGUGAAAGGCCAAUCAAACCGGGAGAUAGCUGGUUCUCCCCGAAAGCUAUUUAGGUAGCGCCUCGUGAAUUCAUCUUCGGGGGUAGAGCACUGUUUCGGCUAGGGGGUCAUCCCGACUUACCAACCCGAUGCAAACUACGAAUACCGAAGAAUGUUAUCACGGGAGACACACGGCGGGUGCUAACGUCCGUCGUGAAGAGGGAAACAACCCAGACCGCCAGCUAAGGUCCCAAAGUCAUGGUUAAGUGGGAAACGAUGUGGGAAGGCACAGACAGCCAGGAUGUUGGCUUAGAAGCAGCCAUCAUUUAAAGAAAGCGUAAUAGCUCACUGGUCGAGUCGGCCUGCGCGGAAGAUGUAACGGGGCUAAACCAUGCACCGAA